Molecule: ribosomal RNA, 550 nt
Filed under: uncultured bacterium
Lineage: Bacteria
Description: bacterial SSU rRNA
Rfam family: Bacterial small subunit ribosomal RNA
Source: RNAcentral
UAGGGAAUCUUCGGCAAUGGACGGAAGUCUGACCGAGCAACGCCGCGUGAGUGAAGAAGGUUUUCGGAUCGUAAAGCUCUGUUGUAAGAGAAGAACGAGUGUGAGAGUGGAAAGUUCACACUGUGACGGUAUCUUACCAGAAAGGGACGGCUAACUACGUGCCAGCAGCCGCGGUAAUACGUAGGUCCCGAGCGUUGUCCGGAUUUAUUGGGUGUAAAGCGAGCGCAGGCGGUUAGAUAAGUCUGAAGUUAAAGGCUGUGGCUUAACCAUAGUACGCUUUGGAAACUGUUUAACUUGAGUGCAAGAGGGGAGAGUGGAAUUCCAUGUGUAGCGGUGAAAUGCGUAGAUAUAUGGAGGAACACCGGUGGCGAAAGCGGCUCUCUGGCUUGUAACUGACGCUGAGGCUCGAAAGCGUGGGGAGCAAACAGGAUUAGAUACCCUGGUAGUCCACGCCGUAAACGAUGAGUGCUAGGUGUUAGACCCUUUCCGGGGUUUAGUGCCGUAGCUAACGCAUUAAGCACUCCGCCUGGGGAGUACGACCGCAAGGUUG